CACGUAGGGCGCAAGCGUUGUCCGGAAUUAUUGGGCGUAAAGAGCUCGUAGGCGGUCUGUUGCGUCCGCUGUGAAAACUCGGGGCUUAACCCCGAGCCUGCAGUGGAUACGGGCAGACUAGAGGUAGGUAGGGGAGAAUGGAAUUCCCGGUGUAGCGGCGAAAUGCGCAGAUAUCGGGAGGAACACCGGUGGCGAAGGCGGUUCUCUGGGCCUUACCUGACGCUGAGGAGCGAAAGCGUGGGGAGCGAACAGG
RNAcentral lists this ribosomal RNA (253 nucleotides) under uncultured bacterium. RNAcentral's name for it is "partial 16S ribosomal RNA". It matches the Rfam family "Bacterial small subunit ribosomal RNA", at positions 524 to 776 of the family's 1533-position model. The record is from RNAcentral.